GAUGAACGCUGGCGGCGUGCCUAAUACAUGCAAGUCGAGCGAACGGACGAGAAGCUUGCUUCUCUGAUGUUAGCGGCGGACGGGUGAGUAACACGUGGAUAACCUACCUAUAAGACUGGGAUAACUUCGGGAAACCGUAGCUAAUACCGGAUAAUAUUUUGAACCGCAUGGUUCAAAAGUGAAAGACGGUCUUGCUGUCACUUAUAGAUGGAUCCGCGCUGCAUUAGCUAGUUGGUAAGGUAACGGCUUACCAAGGCAACGAUGCAUAGCCGACCUGAGAGGGUGAUCGGCCACACUGGAACUGAGACACGGUCCAGACUCCUACGGGAGGCAGCAGUAGGGAAUCUUCCGCAAUGGGCGAAAGCCUUACGGAGCAACGCCGCGUGAGUGAUGAAGGUCUUCGGAUCGUAAAACUCUGUUAUUAGUGAAGAACAUAUGUGUAAGUAACUGUGCACAUCUUGACGGUACCUAAUCAGAAAGCCACGGCUAACUACGUG
This 497-nucleotide ribosomal RNA is filed under the name uncultured bacterium. Its description in RNAcentral is "partial 16S ribosomal RNA". It matches the Rfam family "Bacterial small subunit ribosomal RNA", at positions 28 to 507 of the family's 1533-position model. The record is from RNAcentral.